AUUAAUUGUCGCUAAAGGGCCCUAUAGCGACUGGCCCGACGCUAUAGGUGUUAUUGGCCUUUUCUUCAUCAAGCCCAGAACUUCAUCGCCAGUCACCAAGGUAGGAGGGUUAACCGACUUUAAAUUCUUUGUUAUUAAGAUUUCUGGGCAGAUAGAGUAUCAAGAUCGUAGUAUCCAUGUAAUACUACAACUGAAAUCCAGUUUCUAGGUCAUUACACAACAUCACAGCACGAUCUAAGCUAGUAAAAUGUCUUACAACGUUGUUCUUCAUUUUUUGGGUUUUCCAGAAAAUGAAGAACAGACGUAGGUGCCACUUUGUUCCUUUUAAUCUACACAUCUCCGGCUUGUUUAGGGUGUUUGAUUGAUUAAGUCAUGUAGUAUUGAUGGCAGUGUACAAUUUCAUAACACUAGAUCAUAACAAAAACAUCACACAAGACAGAUUUAAGCCGGUCAAACUGGUAGUCAGAAAACACCCGUUGAAGAUCUGGGUUACCUAGAAUCUUCUUCCGGUCGUGAUGGUCAACGCUAGUUUGACCCUACUUUAAUCCAAUUCCGUGUAUGAUCUAAGUGAUAUAAUGACUUUAAUAUGUAGUCUACAUAUCCGACUACAAACUGAAAACAAAAACAUGGCCAAACAAUCAAACUACUGUAAGAUCUAGAGCUUGCAAAUCCUUGUCAGACGAGAUCUGGGUUUCUGGGCUGCCUAGAACCCAGUUUUUGUGAACGGUCAACGAGUUUUGACCACGUAUAACUUCUAAUCUACACAUGAUAUGAGCAUGUUUCCAAUUACAGAUCAUAGUCCACAUGACAUACUACAUAUAUAUAACUUAAAACAAGAAAAAUCAAAAACAGAAAGAGAUCUAUGGCCACUGACAUUAGCUAGCUUGUGAGGUGACAUUUUUAGGGUUCUAAGUCAGUUUUAAAAAUCUUGAUUUCAUGCAUCUUGAUGUUAUGGAUCCAUGAUCCAACAACCCAGAUCAUUAAAAUACACCCUAUUACACAUAUCUAACCAAUCAAUUACAACAUCUAACAAUAUAUCUAAGGAUUUCGAAAAUUAGGGUUUAUACCUCUUUAGAGUUUGAUUUUUGAUUCUGACUUUUGGUUGCUGUUCUUGGCUUGAUAAGAGGCUAACAUAGCUUAACUUUUCUCUCUAUCUCACUCUAGAUUUUGAAGAUGAAGAGAGAGGAUGGGUUUGGAGAAAAUGAAAAGUCAAGUGGUCUUUCUCUCUCUCUAAUCUUUAUAUUAUGCAUGAUAAAAUGUAUGUUGUCUAGCAAAUUGGCUGAGAUAUAAUAGAUAUAAAUAUUGAGUUGGUGUGGUUGGUGAACAACUUCAACUUUGCUAGAUUCACAAGUUAGCUCAAAUAAUGCACAAAAGGGUAUAAAUGUCAUUUCCUUACCAUUUUAUUUCUAGCAUUGACAUUUGUUGCAAACCCUAAGGUUUAGGGUUUGAAACACCUUAAGGU
RNAcentral lists this long non-coding RNA (1462 nucleotides) under Panax ginseng (ginseng). RNAcentral describes it as "long non-coding RNA (PGIN_LNC012912)". Lineage: Eukaryota; Viridiplantae; Streptophyta; Magnoliopsida; Apiales; Araliaceae. The record is from RNAcentral.